This 1372-nucleotide long non-coding RNA is filed under the name Mytilus galloprovincialis (Mediterranean mussel). Lineage: Eukaryota; Metazoa; Mollusca; Bivalvia; Mytilida; Mytilidae. The record is from RNAcentral.
UGUUAGUAUCUGAUGCCCCUCCUCAUGGACUGUCACAAAGUGGUGAUUCUUUUCCCGAGGGGUGUCCAGCAGGAUUAGACCCUAUUGAUAUCACAAGGAAAUUGGCUGAAAAGGGAAUUACAUUAUACACUGUUGGUUGUGAACCAGCCAUUCUGUCUUAUAGGGACUUUUUCAUGGCAUUGGCUUACAUGACAGGUGGUCAGUACACGCCUCUUGGUGGUGCGAAGCUUUUGACAAAAAUUAUUAUUGGAGGAGCUCAAGAAGAAAUGUCCCUUCAACAAUGGAUGGCCGAUGUUGACGUAGAGGUUCAAAGUCGUAUAGCAUCCGGACACGAAAUAGACGACGAGGCUAUGACUAGAGACUUGCAUGCAAAACUUGCUUCUAAAGGUGCAAGAUCGAAACAGUUAGUGAGAAACAAUGCUGAACUUGCUGGAAUUUCAUCAAAAGCAAAGGCUAUGUCUUCACAGAUGGACAUGAAAUCUGCUAGAUCGGUCUUCAAAAGUUCAAUGGUUGAAACAGAGCCCGUUAUGGAUGAAGCAAGAUGUUCCGACAUGUACGCAGCUAUUGAAACAGAGACAUCCCACUAUCAGGUUAAUCGAAUGCUACAGAAAUCUAAGGCACGUAACUUUUAUAAAAAGUGAACAUUUACUGAAUUUUAUUUGUAUCUAGUUACAGUUGACGUUUUCUAGAUAAACUAUAUAUAAUAACACAUGUAAACCAUAUUUAAUGUUAUAUAAAAAUUGACAUAUUUUAGUAAGCCUUUCACAUUUUCUAUCCAGAAAUUUUGAAUUGCUCAAAUUAGUUUAUUCUAUAGUUGAAACAAUAUAAUAACAAAACUUUGAGUUGUCAAGCAGUCUCUAUAUCAUAGUUUCAUAUUUCUCUCAUAGUUGUAUAUCAUAAGCUUUAACUCCUAUACUAAGUGUGGAUAUCGACAGUUCAACAGUUUCACGUCAAUCAGCAUUUAUUUUUUUCAAUGUUUUCAGGAGAUUGUUUUUAAGGAGAUUGUUUUCAUUGUUGUUAAUAUUGUUUUUCGUUGUUGCAGGUUGUAGAAUCUUAGAAUUUAGAAAAUUUUCUUGCAUUUUGUACGCAUGUUGUAAUAAAUAUUUGUCAUAUGUCAAACAAAAUAUGAAAAACAUGUAUUUGUCAUUUUACAUGGACCGAACACAUUUUAGAUUGUAAAUGUAUACGUAUAUUGCAAUAUUGUUCUGAUAAAAUUGUCAUUAAAUUGUUUUAAUCGAUUUUGAUAUACAUUUGUAACCGAGGUCAAACUAAAAAAAAAUCUCGGGUUUUGGGAUCUCUUGUCUACCCAUUUUAUUUACAUCUCAUAAUAAUUAUCUUUUCAUUUGCCAUUUUGACACUCAUAGAUGACCCC